RNAcentral lists this ribosomal RNA (440 nucleotides) under uncultured Duganella sp. RNAcentral describes it as "bacterial SSU rRNA". It matches the Rfam family "Bacterial small subunit ribosomal RNA", at positions 358 to 790 of the family's 1533-position model. The record is from RNAcentral. Lineage: Bacteria; Pseudomonadati; Pseudomonadota; Betaproteobacteria; Burkholderiales; Oxalobacteraceae.
GGAAUUUUGGACAAUGGGCGCAAGCCUGAUCCAGCAAUGCCGCGUGAGUGAAGAAGGCCUUCGGGUUGUAAAGCUCUUUUGUCAGGGAAGAAACGGGUUUUUCUAAUACAGAGACCUAAUGACGGUACCUGAAGAAUAAGCACCGGCUAACUACGUGCCAGCAGCCGCGGUAAUACGUAGGGUGCAAGCGUUAAUCGGAAUUACUGGGCGUAAAGCGUGCGCAGGCGGUUUUGUAAGACUGUCGUGAAAUCCCCGGGCUCAACCUGGGAAUGGCGAUGGUGACUGCAAGGCUAGAGUUUGGCAGAGGGGGGUAGAAUUCCACGUGUAGCAGUGAAAUGCGUAGAUAUGUGGAGGAACACCGAUGGCGAAGGCAGCCCCCUGGGUCAAAACUGACGCUCAUGCACGAAAGCGUGGGGAGCAAACAGGAUUAGAUACCCUAG